CAUUAAAAUAAAAAAUAAAUAAAUAAAAUCGGAUCACGACAAGAAAGGAUUAGCCCAGCCCCUGCAUAAGGAGGACACACAAAUUAGUGAAGCAUCCCCCAUUUUC
Sorex fumeus (smoky shrew) is the source of this 106-nucleotide small nuclear RNA. Lineage: Eukaryota; Metazoa; Chordata; Mammalia; Eulipotyphla; Soricidae. The record is from RefSeq and is a predicted model, not a curated record.